CUACGGGUUGCUCCAGUGGGGAAUAUUGCACAAUGGAGGAAACUCUAAUGCAGCAACGCCGCGUGGAGGAUGACACUUUUCGGAGCGUAAACUCCUUUUAUAUAGGAAGAAGAUGACGGUACUAUAUGAAUAAGCGCCGGCUAACUCCGUGCCAGCAGCCGCGGUAAUACGGAGGGCGCAAGCGUUACUCGGAAUCACUGGGCGUAAAGAGCGUGUAGGCGGAUUAAAAAGUCAGAAGUGAAAUCCUAUAGCUUAACUAUAGAACUGCUUCUGAAACUCUUAAUCUAGAAUGUGGGAGAGGUAGAUGGAAUUUCUGGUGUAGGGGUAAAAUCCGUAGAGAUCAGAAGGAAUACCGAUUGCGAAGGCGAUCUACUAGAACAUUAUUGACGCUGAGACGCGAAAGCGUGGGGAGCAAACAGGAUUAGAUACCCCAGUAGUC
Molecule: ribosomal RNA, 439 nt
Filed under: uncultured bacterium
Lineage: Bacteria
Description: partial 16S ribosomal RNA
Rfam family: Bacterial small subunit ribosomal RNA
Source: RNAcentral